Molecule: ribosomal RNA, 1488 nt
Filed under: Triticum aestivum (bread wheat)
Lineage: Eukaryota; Viridiplantae; Streptophyta; Magnoliopsida; Poales; Poaceae
Description: partial small subunit ribosomal RNA
Source: RNAcentral
AUGCUCUUCGUCCCGCGCCAGGUAGCACUCGCCUCCCUACCCUCCGCCCCCGCCGCCGCCGCCAUGGCCAAGGAGGAGGCCAAGAAGGAGAAGAAGAGCAAGAGCAAGGGGGCCGCCACCAAGGCCUCCCCCGGCCCCGACCCGCGGGUCCUCGCCGCCGUCGCCGCCUUCCUCGAGUCCAGCGGCCUCCCCCGCACGCUCGCCGCCCUCCUGUCCGAGGCCAACCUCGAGGGAGAUGCUUGGAGGUCGUCGCCGGUGAACCUGGAGGACGUGGUCUCCAAGUUGUUGGAAUCAAGCACUUCUGCUCCAGGAGCUGACAUUACCGCGAGCAAUGAGCAAGAGAAAACAGAUGAUGCCGUAGCAGAAGAGAAAGGCGUGGGCAAGAAAAAGAAGAACAAGAAAGGCGGUGCCGAAGCUCACGAGUCCGAGAGUAAGGCAAGUGAGCCCUCUGCCCCUGAAAAGCCCAGCGAGAAGGCGGAUGAUGAGACCAAAGAAAAGAAACGGAAGAAGAAGAAGGAUAGCUCAUCGGUGGGGGGUGAUGGCGAGGCAAAUGCAGUAGUGAAGACUGAUGAUCAGAAGACUGAUGGCAAGAAAAAGAAAAGCAAGAAACAGGAGAAUGAUGAGGAUGUUGAAGCUAGGCUGGAAAAGGUGGAAUUAGCAGUAAAAGCCAAGUUUGAGGCGGCUGGGAAACUCAAGGAUCAUGACAAGAAAUCUGGAGAGGAUGAACCUAAGACUCAGAAUGACGAGGCUAAUGAGAACGGUUUGAGUGAUGGUGCUCCUCUGGAUAAGGGGAAGAAAAAGAAGAAGAGUAAAUCAACUUCAGAGACCUCAGAUAAGAUUGAUGCAGGAACUGCACCUGCCGAGGCAGAGGUGAAAUCUAAUGGUGCCAGUGAAAAUAAUAAUGCUGUGGGAGAAGGGAAAGAUGUCAAUGAGAAGAAAAGUAAAAAGAAGAAAAAGAAGUCAGGUUCUGAAGAAAAUGUUCAGGUAGAAGAUAAACAAGUUGCAGGGAAAGAUUCAGCUCCCAAACCAGAUGAUGAAAACAAGACUGCCAUGGACAUUGAGAACGGACAAGAUGGAAAGGCUUCAGCUGAUGAUGCAGUUGUUAGCAAGAAGAGGAAACUGGAAGAAGUUGAAGGAAGCAAACCCCCUGCCAAAGAAGAUAUCACUGCCACCGAAGAUGAUGUGAAGGAGCCCAGCACUGCAUCGAAAUCAAAUAAACGGCAGAAACUUUCUGAGCCUAAAAUUGCAUUCCAACGGGUAAAGACUGAAGAUAUUAAAUUUGCUGAUGAAAGACUACAAGAUAAUUCAUAUUGGGCCAAGGGUGGCGCCGACUCUGGGUACGGUGCAAAGGCACAGGAAAUUCUUGGACAAGUUAGAGGAAGGGAUUUUAGGCACGAGAAGACCAAGAAGAAGCGCGGAACCUACAAGGGUGGGUUCAUUGAUCUACAAACCCACUCGAUUAAGUUUAACAAUUCAGAUGACGAGUAA